GCUUCAGUAGCUCAGCUGGUAGAGCAGCUGAUUUGUAAUCAGCAGGUCGUAGGUUCAAGUCCUAUCUGAAGCUCCA
RNAcentral lists this transfer RNA (76 nucleotides) under Archaeoglobus profundus. RNAcentral describes it as "tRNA-Thr". It matches the Rfam family "tRNA". Rfam says of the family: Transfer RNA (tRNA) molecules are approximately 80 nucleotides in length. Lineage: Archaea; Methanobacteriati; Methanobacteriota; Archaeoglobi; Archaeoglobales; Archaeoglobaceae. RNAcentral also lists the same sequence under 6 other names. The record is from RNAcentral.